This 253-nucleotide ribosomal RNA is filed under the name uncultured bacterium. RNAcentral describes it as "partial 16S ribosomal RNA". It matches the Rfam family "Bacterial small subunit ribosomal RNA", at positions 524 to 776 of the family's 1533-position model. The record is from RNAcentral.
UACGUAGGGGGCAAGCGUUGUCCGGAAUUAUUGGGCGUAAAGAGCGUGUAGGCGGCUUGGUAAGUCCGCUGUGAAAGUCCAGGGCUCAACCCUGGAAAGCCGGUGGAAACUGUCAAGCUUGAGUCCGGAAGAGGCGAGUGGAAUUCCUGGUGUAGCGGUGAAAUGCGUAGAUAUCAAGUGGAACACCAGUGGCGAAGGCGAGUCUCUGGACAUUUCCUGACGCUGAGGCACGAAAGCCAGGGGAGCAAACAGG